GUGAAAACCACCGUGAAUCUCCAGAGGAUUGACUGGCUGCUGCCGAAAGGUGCAGUCAGUGUGCGGAUCGCCCCGGAAUACAUCCCCGGUCCAGUUGGCCGAGGACAAACCAGUUCCAGUGAUGCUGGCCGUCGGAAGAAGUGCCGCACCAGGCCGCCGACAGCCAGCUCCCUGACCACGUCUGCCUCUCCUGGAUCUGCUGCCAUCCCGGUGGCAACCAGCAGGGGUCAGCAGGGCACAGGCCGCCGUAGAAAUACGGCGGGAGGCCGGUCAGGGCGAAGAAGGAGGUAUGACCAACAGAAGGGGUUAGAGCCUAAGCCCAGCUCACCAACCUUCUCCUCCUCUUCAUUUUUAUUUCCGUCUUCAGCCCCCUCCCCUUUUGUUUCAUCCCCAUUUCUUUUUAUGGGCUCCUCUGUUUUAUCCCCACACUUACUCACACCUGUAAGCCCAGCUCCACAUCCAUAUUCAGCUCCAGGCCUGGUUCAUCUGACCCAUCUGCUUCAGGCUCCAGCACAGGCUGUAGCCGCCUCAUCUCACCUGGAAAAAUUCUAUUGGUUGUAUAACUAUUAUGUAACAAAGUACUCUAAAAUGACCUAUGACGCCAAGUGCUUUACUGAGUACUGGUGUCAGGAGUUUUGGAACAGACAUUUAAAUGAAAUUAACUUAGCGAAACUGGGGAAGAAUGAGGAUAAUGAGGGUACUCAUUCAUCCAAGAGGCGUAGGAUUGAUGAAGAUGAGUUCAUCUUUCCUAUUGAUGCACUGGAGCAGCUAAGUACCAUGCCCAGGGCUCAGGAGAUGGGUGUGGAGAUGGGCUAUCAGUCAGAUGCACAUAGCUACAUUUCCCUGUAGAUUCAGCACAUAAUUACACGAGAGUUGUCAUACAUACUUAGGAUAAGAUAAAAUACCAUGUAGUUCUAUAGCAUAAGGUACUAUAGGAUAAGAUUAAGAUAGGAUAAGGUUAAGAUAGGACAAGUUAAGAUAGUCUUAACUUGUAUGCCAUUUUAUGUUUUACAAAGACAUGAUGAAUUACCAUAAGUUUAGGAUAAGAUUAUAUAAGAUAACAUAGUAUAAGAAUAAGAUAGGAUUGCAUAGCAUAAGAUAAGAAAGAUAGGAUAAGAUAACAUAGAAUAAAAUUAAGAUAGGAUAGGUUACGGUAAGCUUAAGAUUGUAUAACAUAGGAUUAGAUUAAUUAUAAAUAAAGCAGUCCUCCUCAGAGGGGGGUGGUGGAGGGAAUAUUUUAAGAAAUAAAAAUAGGAUCAGUUAACAUAAGGUUAAGAUAAGAUUGUAUAACAUAGGGCUACAGUGAAGAAAUCAAAAAUUUCAAGGCAGCAUGAAGGUAACGCACAAUCAGGGAUGUGCAAUUUCUGAGGCAUGUAUUCAAAAAAAGUAUUUUAAUUGUGUUUUAUGAUUCAUAUUUGACUUAGUUCAUGAAAUAAAAUGUUUUUUUCUACA
Molecule: long non-coding RNA, 1452 nt
Organism: Brienomyrus brachyistius
Lineage: Eukaryota; Metazoa; Chordata; Actinopteri; Osteoglossiformes; Mormyridae
Exons: 2
Source: RefSeq, a predicted model, not a curated record